GGAAGUAAAAGUCGUAACAAGGUCUCCGUUGGUGAACCAGCGGAGGGAUCAUUACUGAGUUACCGCUCUAUAACCCUUUGUGAACAUACCUACAACUGUUGCUUCGGCGGGUAGGCCGUCCCCUGAAAAGGACGCCUCCCGGCCCGGACCGGACCCCCCGCGGGACCGGACCCGGCGCCCGCCGGAGGAUAACCAAACUCUAUUGUAACGACGUUUCUUCUGAGUGGCAUAAGCAAAAUAAUCAAAACUUUUAACAACGGAUCUCUUGGUUCUGGCAUCGAUGAAGAACGCAGCGAAAUGCGAUAAGUAAUGUGAAUUGCAGAAUUCAGUGAAUCAUCGAAUCUUUGAACGCACAUUGCGCCCGCCAGCAUUCUGGCGGGCAUGCCUGUUCGAGCGUCAUUUCAACCCUCAAGCUCUGCUUGGUGUUGGGGCUCUACGGUCGACGUAGGCCCUCAAAGGUAGUGGCGGACCCUCCCGGAGCCUCCUUUGCGUAGUAACAUUUCGUCUCGCACUGGGAUCCGGAGGGACUCUUGCCGUAAACCCCCCAAUUUUCCAAAGGUUGACCUCGGAUCAGGUAGGAAUACCCGCUGAACUUAAGCAUAUCAAUACGG
RNAcentral lists this ribosomal RNA (611 nucleotides) under Colletotrichum boninense. Its description in RNAcentral is "eukaryotic LSU rRNA". The stretch from base 246 to 399 matches the Rfam family "5.8S ribosomal RNA". The record is from RNAcentral. Lineage: Eukaryota; Fungi; Ascomycota; Sordariomycetes; Glomerellales; Glomerellaceae.